UUUUUUUUUUUUUUUUGGUUAUAAUCAUUACUUCUUUUCUAGAUUCCCUUAUCACACAGACAUUGAUAAUCAGUGAGGAAGUUAACAGGUUUACUAUUUUUGUUAUAAUCGUAAAGUAUUCAUUUGUGUAUCCUGUUGGGUAUUCACAUGAAUUGAACAUAUUCUUCAAAAAACUCAUCUUGCUUCAGGAGCAACUGAACACUAUACUGAGACAGCAUUAAACUGUUUUCUUUCGUCUUUUAAAAAAGCUUUAGCAUCUUUUUUAACUGCCUAGUAUUGUCAAAACUUUUUUCUUUUUUUUUUCCCCCGAGACAGGGUUUCUCUGUGUAGCCCUGGCUGUCCUGGAACUCACUCUGUAGACCAGGCUGGCCUUGAACUCAGAAAUCCACCUGCCUCUGCCUCCCUAAGUGCUGAGAUUAAAGGCACUCGCCACCACCGCCCGACAACUUUUUUCAUUUAAUGAAGUGAGUUUCUCUCUAGUAUCCAAGACAACAAAUAGAUACAGCAAGUGUUCCAGUUUAGACCACUGUUCCAGUCACACUCCAGUCGACAGUUUACUGAUUUCCUGUUUGUUACUUUUUUGAUAGAAUAAGGUCCCUCAAUACAGAAAACUUGCUACAAAUAAACAAGUCGCUCUAAGCAAUAUCUGAUAAAGUAUGUUCAUCCUUAAGAAAGAUUCAAACCUAAAAGGAUCUCCCCUCCUAUUUUUCCCCUCCUAUUUUUUUAAUAUAAACUGUUUAGACUUUUCAAUGAACUUGAUUCAGAAAAAUUUGCACUAUGAAUAUAAAUAAACUGAAGAGCUAGAUUAAAACAAAUUCCUGAUUGGACCUUUUUUGUUUAUUUCUUACACUUAAACACAAAACACACUUGGGAGGAGAUUAUGUGAUACCAGGGAUGUGUCCGUUUUCAUCAGGCACUGGCUUCCCGUUUUGUUUUUCUAUUUCCUUUGCUGGUAUCCAGCACUCUGGGACAGGCUUGAAGUCUUCCUCAGUGUUCCAGUGAAACUCUGUAAGACAUGAAAUACAAAGCUGACAUACAAACUGGAAAUAACAAACCCAUCACUCCUCAGAUGUGCUAAGUCCUCUCUGUUAUCACUGCCAUGUAACUACAUUCCAAAGUAGGGGACUAACUGUAAAUACGCAACUUUUAGUACACUACCACGUUGCACACUACCGUCUAAAGUGCCAAAAUUCUCUGAGGAUUUAUGAGUUUUAAUGUGCUCACUACUUAGUACUUUAUAAGACCUAUACGGAUCAGAAUAGAUAAGUAAUGAAUGUGUAUAGUAGAGUCAUCAGUGAAAUAAUAAAAAAUCUUCAUAUUUAUAACAUGACUUAGAAAAAUAUUUUUAUCAUACAAACAAAAUGAAAAUAUAUCUCAAAUAAUACUGUAUGUUUAAACAGCAUAGAUUGUUUUCCAAUAUUUAUGUGUGGGCAUGUGUCCGCCAGAUUGCCUCUGUCUGUCAGAGCACUGUGUUAAUUUUUUAUUCCUAAAAGUGAUUAUUUUAUAUAUAAGUAAAUAUAUAUGUAUAUAUCUAUGUAUGUGUGUAUAUAUAUAUGUUGGGAGCCGCCCCCACAUUCGCCGUCACAAGAUGGCGCUGACAUCCUGUGUUCUAAGUGGUAAACAAAUAAUCUGCGCAUGUGCCAAGGGUAUUUUACGACUACUUGUACUCUGCCUUUCCCGUGAACGUCAGCUCGGCCAUGGGCUGCAGCCAAUCAGGGAGUGAUGCGUCCUAGGCGAAAUAUAACUCUCCUAAAUAGGGAAGGGGUUUCGGUUUCAUUAUUGAAGGGGCUUUCGCUUUUGGGGUUGGGGGUUUGCGCUCCUAGCUCCUGAAGAUGUAAGCAAUAAAGUUUUGCCGCAGAA
RNAcentral lists this long non-coding RNA (1860 nucleotides) under Mus musculus (house mouse). RNAcentral describes it as "predicted gene, 47956". Lineage: Eukaryota; Metazoa; Chordata; Mammalia; Rodentia; Muridae. The record is from RNAcentral.